CACACACCUGUGCAGAGCCGGUGGCAGGCCCUCCCGGCACAGGAAUGGCGUGCCCCCAGCUGCCGCCACUUCUGCUUUUGGUGCUGGUGGUGCUGCUGAAAGCUGAUGGGAAUUACAAUACUUCCCUUACAGUUCCGAAUCCCUGACCCCGCACUGGAGCCCCACUUCCCACAGCCCCGGAACGGAGCCCUUGACCUCCACUGACCAGACCUUGGAGCCCCCUGGCCCAGCUCCAGGUGACACUGGGCCCCGUGAGUUACACAGGAACCCGAGCGUGGUGGUGGUCGUGUGUUUGCUGGUGUCUCUUUUGCUCAUCGGGUCUGUGGUCAUGGCUGUGAGAUUCUGUCACCGGAAUGAGUCCAAGUUUGAGAACCUGGACGAGGUGUCCAUGGGAUCCAUGAAUGACAGAUUGUCCUUUGCCCACCACCUCCAGGAGUGAGCCCUGAGGAGCCAACAGAGAUGGGGGCAUGGAUGGGGCUGGGGUUCCUGGGGAGGAGCAGAACCUGAGGAAAUAAAGCCCCUACCAUUCAUCCAAGGCCUCAUGUGAAAACACGAGUUAUGGACUCAUGUGAAAACAUUAACUGAGCACCUACUAUGUGCUGGGCUCUGUGCUGGGGUC
RNAcentral lists this small RNA (619 nucleotides) under Pan troglodytes (chimpanzee). RNAcentral describes it as "processed transcript". Lineage: Eukaryota; Metazoa; Chordata; Mammalia; Primates; Hominidae. The record is from RNAcentral.